UGGGGAAUUUUGGACAAUGGGGGAAACCCUGAUCCAGCCAUCCCGCGUGUGCGAUGAAGGCCUUCGGGUUGUAAAGCACUUUUGGCAGGAAAGAAACGUCAUGGGUUAAUACCCCGUGAAACUGACGGUACCUGCAGAAUAAGCACCGGCUAACUACGUGCCAGCAGCCGCGGUAAUACGUAGGGUGCAAGCGUUAAUCGGAAUUACUGGGCGUAAAGCGUGCGCAGGCGGUUCGGAAAGAAAGAUGUGAAAUCCCAGAGCUCAACUUUGGAACUGCAUUUUUAACUACCGAGCUAGAGUGUGUCAGAGGGAGGUGGAAUUCCGCGUGUAGCAGUGAAAUGCGUAGAUAUGCGGAGGAACACCGAUGGCGAAGGCAGCCUCCUGGGAUAACAAUGAAGCUCAUGCACGAAAGCGUGGGGAGCAAACAGG
This 429-nucleotide ribosomal RNA is filed under the name Acidobacteriota bacterium. RNAcentral's name for it is "Acidobacteria bacterium partial 16S ribosomal RNA". It matches the Rfam family "Bacterial small subunit ribosomal RNA", at positions 355 to 776 of the family's 1533-position model. Lineage: Bacteria; Pseudomonadati; Acidobacteriota. The record is from RNAcentral.